AAUCGCGUGUAAAUAAUCGAGCAAGAGGUCGAAGGGUCGGCUUUAGUUGAGGUAAGUCUGUCGUAACGCUCUCUCCUGUACUGACUUUCCUUCUGCUGUUUCAUCGCCCGUUUGUCGACGUCGACAACUUUAAAACACAGACUUGCAUUAAUAGCAAAGAAUCGAAAUGGGUGGUGAUGCAGAACCUCCGUUUGAACUGAAGGGAUUUCAGAAGUAUUUUAACUCAUAUACUCAGAAGGGGAGAGCAAAUGUGGUGGUCUUUUCAUUAGCUCUUGCAGCAGUUGGAAUAUUCGCGGCCACAAGACCGAAAAAGGCUUCAUGAUUGCAUCUAGACACGUUUUUUGUUGAACCUGAUUUAAAUUAAAUGCUUUAUUAAAUACAA
Long non-coding RNA from Styela clava, 382 nucleotides. RefSeq lists it as uncharacterized. NCBI's taxonomy places the organism in Eukaryota, Metazoa, Chordata, Ascidiacea, Stolidobranchia, Styelidae. The record is from RefSeq and is a predicted model, not a curated record.